UCUAGGGUGAUGAACUUUUCUGCAGGAGGAC
RNAcentral lists this non-coding RNA (31 nucleotides) under Homo sapiens (human). The record is from RNAcentral. Lineage: Eukaryota; Metazoa; Chordata; Mammalia; Primates; Hominidae.